UUUUUUUCUUUCAGUUUUUCUUUCUUCAAUCCCUCUUUUCUCGCACCCCUAACGCCGCCGGAGAUUUGCAACCUCACCGGUCGUAACCGUUCGUUUCGCGGCUCUGCUUCGUCGGAUUCCGUAUGGGAGAAGAAGCUACCCCCGAAUUAUCACGAUCCGCUUGAUUUGUUACCGUCUUAACCUCUCACGGUUUUGGACUUUUUCAUAAAUGCCCUUUGAAUUUUAAUUGGAUUUGGGGAUUAGGGUAAUAAGAAGAGGAAUCUCCGGUUUGUUUGUCCUCAGAGAAAGUAACUGUUUUCUCAUGGAUCUAUGUGUUUAACCUCCUAUUGGUCUUACUCUUGGUCUUAUGUUUCUUUAAAGAGUGGUGUGGGAUGCUCCAUAAACUGUAGAUGUGAAGGGUGUAAGAAUGCAUUUGGCCGCAAAGAUGGUUAAGCUUCUCUUCUUCUGAGUUUUCACUGCUAAACAGUCUUAAGUUCAAGGAAGAAGAUGAAGAUGAAAACUCCGACCCAAGUCGAUACCUUUGGGUUCAAGAGAAUCGGAACAGAGACUUCAGUGUCUGUGUCCAGAAGUUGAGUUGUUGAAAGAGAGGAUGGCGAAGCUACUGCGUCGUGAAGACAUUUCAGGUUCUGGUAAGGAGUUUGUCCAGCUCAUUCCAGGAAGAUGGAGAUAAAUGGUGGCUUCCUCUCUGCCACGUGUGCCAUCUGAUGGACUCUCUGAGCAGUCUAGGAAGAAGCUAGACCACUCGUGAUUUCACUAACCAAAGAAGGAUAUGGGUGUUGCUUCGAUGGGAUUCUGUACUAUCAAGCUAGAGUUGAUGAUCAUGAUAUAAUAAUGCGCUUUGAUGUCAAAUCUGAAAGCUUUAGUCCUAUAAAUUAUCCAAAAUAUUCCAGUUUUCGACGGUUGUAUAAGAUGAUGAUACCUUAUGAGGGAAGGCUAGCCUUAGUUA
Long non-coding RNA from Brassica oleracea var. oleracea, 946 nucleotides. RefSeq lists it as uncharacterized. The transcript has 2 exons. NCBI's taxonomy places the organism in Eukaryota, Viridiplantae, Streptophyta, Magnoliopsida, Brassicales, Brassicaceae. The record is from RefSeq and is a predicted model, not a curated record.